RNAcentral lists this transfer RNA (77 nucleotides) under Clostridium sp. Its description in RNAcentral is "tRNA-Arg". It matches the Rfam family "tRNA". Rfam says of the family: Transfer RNA (tRNA) molecules are approximately 80 nucleotides in length. The record is from RNAcentral. Lineage: Bacteria; Bacillati; Bacillota; Clostridia; Eubacteriales; Clostridiaceae. RNAcentral also lists the same sequence under 1 other name.
GCAUCUAUAGCUCAGUAGGAUAGAGCGGUGGUUUCCUAAACCAUGUGCCGGAGGUUCGAAUCCUCUUAGGUGCACCA